Molecule: ribosomal RNA, 470 nt
Filed under: uncultured bacterium
Lineage: Bacteria
Description: bacterial SSU rRNA
Rfam family: Bacterial small subunit ribosomal RNA
Source: RNAcentral
GAUGAACGCUGGCGGCGUGCAUAACACAUUCAAGUCGAACGGUGACGGAAACUUCGGUUUCCUGAUCAGUGGCGGACGGGUGAGUAACGCGUGAGCAACCUGCCCUAUAUUGCGGGAUAACAACCGGAAACAGUUGCUAAUACCGCAUGACGUAUUCGGAUCGCAUGUUCUGAAUACCAAAGAAUUUUGAUAUAGGAUGGGCUCGCGUCCGAUUAGGCAGUUGGUGGGGUAACGGCCCACCAAACCGACGAUCGGUAGCCGAACUGAGAGGUUGAACGGCCACAUUGGAACUGAGAUACGGUCCAGACUCCUACGGGAGGCAGCAGUGGGGAAUAUUGGGCAAUGGGGGAAACCCUGACCCAGCAACGCCGCGUGAAGGAGGAAGGCCUCGGUUGUAAACGUUACUUUUACCUAGGACGAAGAACGUAGACGGUACCGUCGGAGAAAAGACAACGGACGUAACUAACGUG